This 740-nucleotide long non-coding RNA is filed under the name Erythranthe guttata (spotted monkey flower). RNAcentral describes it as "long non-coding RNA (EGUT_LNC002366)". The record is from RNAcentral. Lineage: Eukaryota; Viridiplantae; Streptophyta; Magnoliopsida; Lamiales; Phrymaceae.
UACUCAUAACACUUCAUUUGUCUUCUCUAACAACACUCAUUCCCCAUAACUCGAUUCCAGCCAUGAUAUGAUUAUAAUUUAUAACCUCAAAAGCAUGCGCAAAUAGAAAAUGAAUAAUAACUUGGACAGAAAUGAUUGUCUACACAACUUGACCACUCAAAAACAAUAUGGUUUAUACCUCAAUCACUUCACUCAAAACCACCACAAAAUUCAAUAUAAUCUAUAUGAAUACAUAUCGACGAGAAACUAAAAUUCGAAAGCAAAGUCGAGAGGCAGUCUCCACUCUCCAGAAAACCAAACUCAUACAGAUGCUCCGUCUACAGGAUUUAUAUUUGACAAAACCCAAAAUACCUUUGAAAUUUCUGAACCACGGCUUAUCUCUUGACCCAUUUGGUUGGAUGCAAGAGUUCUGCAUGCUUCUACACGGACACUGAAAAUGACCCGACCCCAUAAAAAUAAUACCACAAACCAUUCUUCUUCCACCAAUAUAGCAUCACUCCUAAAAGAAAACGAGCAUCAACAAAUUACACAUUUGAUAAGAUUAAUAAUAAUUUUCAAAAAAUAGAAGGAUAAAACUUUUAAGCGGACGACACAAAUUGUAAUCGAACAAUGGAGGACAUAGUGAAUGCAGUUGCUUUUAAUGUUCAUACCGUUAUUCUAUUAUGUUUUGAGCAUUCUGUCUCCAAUAGAAAGCAAAAAUCACAACAGAGUCCUAUUAUAGUUAUUUUUAGUGUUCAAUU